UACGUAGGGGGCGAGCGUUGUCCGGAUUUAUUGGGCGUAAAGAGCUCGUAGGCGGUUCGGUAAGUCGGAUGUGAAAUCUCCACGCUCAACGUGGAGGGGCCAUUCGAUACUGCCGUGACUCGAGUCCGGUAGGGGAGUGUGGAAUUCCCGGUGUAGCGGUGAAAUGCGUAGAGAUCGGCAGGAACACCCAGGGGGAAACCAGUCGACUGGGCAGCACCUGACGCUGAGGUGCGAGAGCGUGGGGAGCGAACCGG
This 254-nucleotide ribosomal RNA is filed under the name uncultured bacterium. RNAcentral describes it as "partial 16S ribosomal RNA". It matches the Rfam family "Bacterial small subunit ribosomal RNA", at positions 524 to 776 of the family's 1533-position model. The record is from RNAcentral.